CUCUUCAAGGGCAAAAUCGUAAUUUCACUAAAAUCCUGAUUUGAUAGUACCAUUUGGUAGAACAAAUGAUUUGAAAUCUAUUGGUGAAAAUUUUAUUGUGUUUGGACUUAUAUUUUUGAAGUUAUGAAGGUUUGAAGUGCAUGAGUCGACUCAUGAGUCAACUCAUGGCACUGUGAGCUGAUUGGCACGCAAAAAUUCUCCU
This 202-nucleotide long non-coding RNA is filed under the name Elaeis guineensis (African oil palm). RNAcentral's name for it is "long non-coding RNA (EGUI_LNC052641)". Lineage: Eukaryota; Viridiplantae; Streptophyta; Magnoliopsida; Arecales; Arecaceae. The record is from RNAcentral.